Non-coding RNA from Gymnothorax javanicus (giant moray), 74 nucleotides. The record is from the annotation of a GenBank genome assembly. NCBI's taxonomy places the organism in Eukaryota, Metazoa, Chordata, Actinopteri, Anguilliformes, Muraenidae.
GGCGGCAUGGCUCAGGAGGUAGAGCGGGUGGCCUAGGAAUCCAACGGUUCUCGGUUCAAUCCUCGGCUCCUCCA